CCUGCUUGGUGCAGUGCCCUGCUGGUGCUGGGACCCUUUGUGUGGGGUCACCUCUGGCUCUUGCCCUGUGGGGUAAUGCAGUUGUGCUGCUCCCUGGUAGUGCUGUGACUUCUGCAUGCUCACACGUCUUCCUCCUGGGCUUCACUACUGGCUCGGGGCUGGGGCUGUCCUGGGGCUGGAUGGGGAGCGAGGGAAGGUGCUGCCUGUCUACGGCUCCACGAAGGUCACUGAAAGGUCCGUGCCCCGUUUCUGUAGCACCAAAGCACUCCCGGUGAUGUUCCAGCUGCGGGGGGCUGCUCCGAUUGAGUGAUCAGUGAAGAAAACCAGAAGGAUCUGCCCAGGGGGAGGGCUUGAAUUCCCUAGCACGGUGCCAGCUGCCUCCAGCCGAGCAGGCAGCCCUGUGCGUGUGGCACCAGCUCUCCGCAGCCUGCUGGUGUCUGAGCAGCCCUGACCACGUUUUGGGAGCCAGCUGGGGCCCCGUGGAGCUGCCAGGCUGCUCCUCGAGCUGCUGCAUGGCCAGGUGCCUCGCUGUGGCAGGGACACUGCAGCACCUCCAGCCCUUCAGCCCCUGCCAGGAUCUGCUCCUUAGAAGGUUUUCCCAAAGCAGCCCAGGCAGCAGCACCCCAGCUGGGCUGGGCUGAAUUAGGAGCUGAGCUCCUUUACAGCGCCGCUUUCUCCCAUCAAAAAGUGCCCCCAACAGAAGCCUCUGGGCACACCUGAACUCCCCUGGGGAGCCUUUGCACAACCCCACAGGACACAGAACUCUGCGUCUGCGCUCUUUCCAAGCAGCCCUAACCGUAACACUAAGCCUAACCCUACUUAGGACCCUAAAAAACACGUACGGUGCCUGUUUCUCCCAUCCAAAAGUGCUCCCAAGGGCCAUCCAAAAAGAUGCUGUAAGGAUGGAAGAUGCAGAGUGGGAACAAAGGAGCUCUGAGGGGUCCAGAGAUAAAUGCCUGGAUGGCUGCUGAGUGCUCAGCCUGAUUUCACGGCGCAAAUAUUGGUUACCCUAGGGCAUCCGAACCGGCCUUAACCCCAGUGAGGUGAGGACAAGUAUCAUUGUAUGGAUUCCUGUUGGAUAGCAAGGAAGAAUUUUCUGCAUGAAAGCUUUAAUUAGAUUUGUUUGGACCGUGUUCAUGUGCCUCCUGGGUUCGCUUUCUGUGAAUACUUUAAGUUUUGUUGGCAGGAACGCUUGUGCAAACUGCAAAUUUGGGGUCAGCAUCUCAUCUGAUAUAAAUCAGUGCAGGCAGCAGAAGUCCACCAAUUUACACCCACGGAAAGGCAGACUCCCUAAAUGAAUAGUGAGAAAUUAGCCUUGGAACAUAAAUUUGGAGUGAAAAACUCCCAGGACUUGUGCUGAAAGCGUUACCCUGAGGCUGCAGCAGCUUUCCAGUGGCAACAGGGAGCAUCAACCAGUGGCCAGCAGGAAUCCUGGUGCAAAGGUGGAGCCCGUCACCCUCCUGCAGCCCCUCGCCUCCUCCCUCCUGCCUGGCGCAGGGUCGGGAGGGCAGCUGCAUCUCGUGGUUCCUCCCCAGGCUGCAGUGCUCUGCUCCCACCAGCCCUUCCCAGUCCUGUUGCCACCACGUGCAACGAGCUCCGUGCUCUCUGGACCUGGUGAUUCCUCCUCCCUCGGGGUACGUGCAGCCCUUGCCCCUCUAGGGUCCUGAUCCAGCCCUGCCUGGGGCUUUGGGGGUGUUGAGUUUGGAUGGAAAUUGUAGGGGAUGGGGCUGAGCCUGAGGACAGCGGGAGGAAAAGGAGGAGAGGGGCCCUCUGAUUGCUAUCUCCUGGAGGAACUGGAGCGUGCCCAGAAACAAUAAAUGUCCAGCGAUGAUUUGAUAUGAGUUAGGAUGGAAAAGCAUCACAGGGUGCGCCCGAGACGAGCUCUCCCUUCAGACUCCGGUGAACUCUUAAACAAACUCUUGUGCGCCUGCAAGGCUGGGCUCCAGAUGGGCUGGGGGGGCUGCUCCUGGCCCCACGCCUGGGGGUGCCCAACCUGCUGGGGGGAUAGAGGAGGGCAGGGCUGGCUCUGCACAGACGCAGACGGAGCAGCAGGACUGGAGCCCCUUGGCACCCUGCCUCUCUCCCAGGAGCAUCACAGCUCGCUUUUCUCAGCCCUUUUUAGGCAAAUCCUGCCUGCCCAGAGCCCCUGGCUCAGAAACCCCCUCUGCAGGGCUGCAGGUGGAUGGUUUAAAAGACCAGCAGAGGGCUUUAAUCCCCCAGUGGUGUGAGCAGAUUAUUCUUGCUUCCCAGGCCAAGCGUUUUGGAAAGGUCGGGUGGCUCAGGUCUGCUCCCCGGCGGGGAGGGCAGCUGGUUAUUUCUCCCCCCAGCACCUCCCUGCUGAGAGCUGGCAGCGCUGCGAUGCAAGCAUCAUCUGGAGGUCACCUGGACUUCUCUCCCCUCCUGGCUUGGAGCACGGCAGCUCUGCAGGCUUCUGCAGCAAAGCAUCAGCAAAAAAGCAUCAGCCACUGAAGCCAGCGAAUUCUCCUGCUCGUCGCUUCGGUUCUGCAUGUGGACAAGGGGAGCUGUGACCUCCCUUCCCCUCUGCUCUCCCCAGAAAAUUGCAGGAGGCACCUGCAGGAGUCACCCCGUGAGGCUGGGGCGGCUGAGCGGGGCCCCAGGGAUCCAGGCCAGGGCUUGUCCUUCAUCACCCGUCCCGAUUUGGGGGCAGGUAGGGGGCUGGGGGUCUGGGCGGUCAACAGGAAUAAAAAGGAGAGGAAUGCAGGGGGCUCGGCCCCAGAGGAGCAGGUUUGGGGUAACGGGAGCAACCAGGAGGCUGAGCUCCUUGCUAGGGCUUUAUGAAGGAGCAGUGCUUCUCUGGGAGGAGGAUUUCAGUCCAUAAAAUAAUGAAGUGAAGGGAAGACGAAGCACCCCCUCCUCCGAGGCUUGCAUGGCGCUGGGAGCCCCAAGUCCCAUUUCCUUGGCCCUGCUUUCCUCAUCUCUCUGUAUGGGGCAGCUGUGGGGUUCCCUGCUCGUGUAUACACGUGUACGCGUGGCCCCGUGUACGCUGCUAACCAGGAACAUCCCCACAAGCAGCCAAAGGCCUCCGGUUCCCCGCCGGCAUCGUUUUGGGGUGAGCGCAGGGGAAGGCCGGAUGCGUGGUAGCCCUGCCCUCACACCCCAUAAAACGGCUCUGUCUCUGGUUUGUGUCUGAGGGGAAAAAAGGAGAGGAGGGGGGGCGGAAAAAAAGCCUCUCCGAAAUGAGAUUCCUGAAAUGACAGCGUGCUGACACGCUGCGGGGUGAUUUUGGCACGGAAUGAGAAAGCUCAGCGGGAGCGGGGGGCUCGCGGGAUCGUGCAGGCCCCCUGGGGGCUGGGACCCCCGGCACCAGCACC
Anas platyrhynchos (mallard) is the source of this 3332-nucleotide long non-coding RNA. RefSeq lists it as uncharacterized. NCBI's taxonomy places the organism in Eukaryota, Metazoa, Chordata, Aves, Anseriformes, Anatidae. The record is from RefSeq and is a predicted model, not a curated record.